RNAcentral lists this ribosomal RNA (116 nucleotides) under Pseudomonadota bacterium. The record is from RNAcentral. Lineage: Bacteria; Pseudomonadati; Pseudomonadota.
CCUGGUGGUCCUUGCGGAGCAUGAACCACCCGAUCCCAUCCCGAACUCGGAAGUGAAAGGCUCCAGCGCCAAUGGUACUGUGUCUCAAGACACGGGAGAGUCGGUCGCUGCCAGGC